UUGGACGGUCAUAGGGGCGUGGUGCUACCGGUACCCAUUUCGAACACCGAAGUCAAGAACGCUUCCGUACCUAGCUGUACUGCGGUAAUCGUGGGAACCUAGGUAAGCUGUCCUCC
This 116-nucleotide ribosomal RNA is filed under the name Candidatus Woesearchaeota archaeon. Lineage: Archaea; Nanobdellati; Candidatus Woesearchaeota. The record is from RNAcentral.